CAUUAUUCAUCCUAUCCUAUUUACUGUUGCGAUAUUUUUCCGGUGUAAUCUUCGAUUGCACCCUGAUUUGGUAUUCUGACAUGUUUCUUUUUGAGCUUCGAAAAGGUUCACAUAUCCCAGGAAAAGGUUAUUGGCUAGGUAUUCCACUUUAUUUGUGGGAUACCCUUGUGGAGUUUUCACCCUAAAUUACCUAAUUAAUUUUGAUGUAUUAAUU
RNAcentral lists this long non-coding RNA (214 nucleotides) under Lathyrus oleraceus (garden pea). Its description in RNAcentral is "Pisum sativum (pea) long non-coding RNA (PSAT_LNC010317)". Lineage: Eukaryota; Viridiplantae; Streptophyta; Magnoliopsida; Fabales; Fabaceae. The record is from RNAcentral.